Molecule: long non-coding RNA, 908 nt
Filed under: Ananas comosus (pineapple)
Lineage: Eukaryota; Viridiplantae; Streptophyta; Magnoliopsida; Poales; Bromeliaceae
Description: long non-coding RNA (ACOM_LNC032935)
Source: RNAcentral
AUAGGGAUUUUUUUUUUUUUUUAAGACAGAAAGAUAGCAUGUUAUCUGCUGCGUUCAUUUUUUUUAGAAAAAAAUAUUGGGAUUUUUGGAUGUCAAAAAUAUAUGGUUAAUUAAGAGGAACAUAAAUUAAUAUGCUUAAUGAAGUGAUUAAAAUGGAUGAUUUUUUUUUAGAUGGGGAAUACAAUUAAAAUUCAUUAAAGCUAUUUAAAAUUAUUCAGAAAUACUGAUCAAAUUUAAUACAUAAAUAUUUAUAUUAAAAUCAAAUUUUCUAAUAGGCUAAAUUACAUAAAAUUUUUCUGUCAAAAUUCGAUUUUUCACUUUACCCUCCUGUCAUUUAAAAACCUACACUUUGCCCCCUUGUAAAAUAAAAAAUAUUCACAUAAGGUAUGGUGUGUAAAAUGACCAUUUUGCCCCUCACCAUUUUCGUCUUCUCCAUCAUCUUCUUCAACCGCCGCCUCGAUCAGCCGCCAUUCACAUCUCGAUUUGCUGCAAUUUCUCUCCAUUUUCUUCUCCACGUGCUUCCCUUCUCCUUCUGCACCCUCGUCGCUCUUCGAUAUCGGCGACAGUAGGGAGGAAACCGAGAUGGACAUUGAUGGAGAGGUAGGCAAGAGCAACAAGAGCGAAAGCGAGGUGGCGGACGACAGCGAAGGGGAUGUGGGCGAGGGUGAAGCAGUGGAGGAGUGCGAGACGGCGAGGCGGCGAGCCGGAGGGAGGCGAAGCAACAGGAAAGAGGGCGGAGGGAUAUUUUUGGCAUAAAAAAAUAUUUUAUAACGGAACCCUAACGGUAGUUGGUGAAGUGCAUAUUUUUCAUUUUACAAAGAGACAAAAUGUAGAUUUUUAAGUGACAGAAGGAAAAAGUGAAAAAUCAAAUUUUGAUCGGAAAUUUUGUGUAAUUUAGCCUUUCGAAU